CCGAGAGGCAACACAGAAGGACCCACCCAGGACAGCACAUUCCUGUUUCCAGCUUCCAAAAGGCUCAGGAUGAUCGCUCCACGGAGAUUCCGCCUCUCCUUCUUCACCUUCGCUUGCUGUCUGGCUGUGUUUCUCAGCCACAUUGGGGACACGGCACGCAUUGCUCCCGAAUUCCCCGGCAAAGAUGCUCCACUCGACCAACUGGUUCAAUAUUACAACGAGUACCAGCAAUACCACAACUCAAUCAACCGUCCCAGAUAUGGUAAGCGAUCUAGCAGUCAGGCAGUCUGCGGAGAUCCAAGCGCCAGAUUGGACUGUUCAUACUGACAAGUCCACAAGGAGGAUGGCUGCAAGCCUUCCAGACAGAACCCUGAUUUGCUCCAUGAUCCUCUUCACCUGACUUCUUCAUAUGAUGGCUGCCUGCUUCCGAGCAAGACAUUCCCUACUGGGCAUUCCCUUCCUCUCCUCUUCAACUAACUGUUGAAUUUAAUCAUUAUAAUAAAGCAAGAUUCUUGUUGCAAUCUGGUCGCCUUUCAAUGUGCAACC
Molecule: long non-coding RNA, 546 nt
Organism: Zootoca vivipara (common lizard)
Lineage: Eukaryota; Metazoa; Chordata; Lepidosauria; Squamata; Lacertidae
Source: RefSeq, a predicted model, not a curated record